RNAcentral lists this transfer RNA (78 nucleotides) under Bacteriophage sp. Its description in RNAcentral is "tRNA-Arg". It matches the Rfam family "tRNA". Rfam says of the family: Transfer RNA (tRNA) molecules are approximately 80 nucleotides in length. The record is from RNAcentral.
GGCUCGCUAGCUCAAUAGGAUUAGAGCAACAGCCUUCUAAGCUGUAGGUUCUGCGUUCGAAUCGCAGGCGAGUCACCA